GGGCAUGUACAAAAAUUGAUGAUCUAAUUCUUUUCCUCUAAAUUUGAUAUCUAGGGGUCGUAGAAACGUCUUUUCCUCUAUUUGUCCUGAAACUCCUACCACCCAUGCAGUUGAAUCACUUAAUGGCCCCAUCAAUUUAUUCAUUGCCGAGAAACUAGCUCCAGUAUCUAUUCUAAAUUCUGUCGGCUCUCCCUCUACUUCUAAAACAACUUUUAAGUCUGAAUCUA
This is a long non-coding RNA of Chiroxiphia lanceolata (lance-tailed manakin), 227 nucleotides long. RefSeq lists it as uncharacterized. The record is from RefSeq and is a predicted model, not a curated record. The transcript is spliced from 3 exons. Lineage: Eukaryota; Metazoa; Chordata; Aves; Passeriformes; Pipridae.